Molecule: ribosomal RNA, 482 nt
Filed under: uncultured bacterium
Lineage: Bacteria
Description: bacterial SSU rRNA
Rfam family: Bacterial small subunit ribosomal RNA
Source: RNAcentral
GGAUGAACGCUGGCGGCGCGCUUAACACAUGCAAGUCGAACGAUUAAUGCACCCCUCGGGGUGCGCAUAAAGUGGCGAACGGCUGAGUAACACGUGGGCAACCUGCCCCCCGCACCGGGAUAGCCUCGGGAAACCGAGGGUAAUACCGGAUACUCCGCCCCCCUCGCAUGGGAGGGGCGGGAAAGCACAUACGGCGGGGGAUGGGCCCGCGGCCUGUUAGCUCGUUGGCGGGGUAACGGCCCACCAAGGCGAUUAUGGGUAGCCGGGUUGAGAGACCGACCGGCCAGAUUGGGACUGAGACACGGCCCAGACUCCUACGGGAGGCAGCAGUGGGGAAUCUUGCACAAUGGGCGAAAGCCUGAUGCCAGCGACGCCGCGUGCGGGAAGAAGGCCCUCGGGUUGUAAACCGCUUUCAGCAGGGACGAGGCGCAAGUGACGGUACCUGCAGAAGAAGCCCCGGCUAACUACGUGCCAGCAGCCGC